This 254-nucleotide ribosomal RNA is filed under the name uncultured bacterium. RNAcentral describes it as "partial 16S ribosomal RNA". It matches the Rfam family "Bacterial small subunit ribosomal RNA", at positions 524 to 776 of the family's 1533-position model. The record is from RNAcentral.
UACGUAGGGGCCAAGCGUUGUCCGGAUUUAUUGGGCGUAAAGAGCUCGUAGGCGGUUCGGCAAGUCGAAUGUGAAAUCUCCACGCUCAACGUGGAGGGGUCAUUCGAUACUGCCGUGACUUGAGUACGGUAGGGGAGUGUGGAAUUCCCGGUGUAGCGGUGAAAUGCGCAGAGAUCGGGAGGAACACCCGUAGCGAAGGCGGCACUCUGGGCCGAUACUGACGCUGAGGAGCGAAAGCGUGGGAAGCGAACAGG